This 406-nucleotide ribosomal RNA is filed under the name uncultured bacterium. RNAcentral describes it as "partial 16S ribosomal RNA". It matches the Rfam family "Bacterial small subunit ribosomal RNA", at positions 30 to 526 of the family's 1533-position model. The record is from RNAcentral.
AUUGAACGCUGGCGGCAGGCCUAACACAUGCAAGUCGAACGAGUGGCGGACGGGUGAGUAAUGUCUGGGAAACUGCCUGAUGGCGGGGGAUAACUACUGGAAACGGUAGCUAAUACCGCAUACCAUCGGAUGUGCCCAGAUGGGAUUAGCUAGUAGGUGGGGUAAAGGCUCACCUAGGCGACGAUCCCUAGCUGGUCUGAGAGGAUGACCCGCCACACUGGAACUGAGACACGGUCCAGAGUCCUACGGUAGGCAGCAGUGGGGAAUAUUGCACAAUGGGCGCAAGCCUGAUGCAGCCAUGCCGCGUGUAUGAAGAAGGCCUUCGGGUUGUAAAGUACUUUUGGCAGAGAGGCGGUAUCUGCAGAAUAAGCACCGGCUAACUACGUGCCAGCCGCCGCGGUAAUUC